This 204-nucleotide ribosomal RNA is filed under the name uncultured bacterium. RNAcentral's name for it is "partial 16S ribosomal RNA". It matches the Rfam family "Bacterial small subunit ribosomal RNA", at positions 524 to 715 of the family's 1533-position model. The record is from RNAcentral.
UACGGAGGGAGCUAGCGUUGCUCUGGAAUGUACGUGGGCGUAAAGGGCGCGUAGGCGGUUUGUACAGAUCAUGAGUGUCGAAAAUUCCUGGGCUCAACCUGGGGGCUGCAUUUGAUACGUAGUGGACUGGAGUGAGGAAGAGGGUCGAUGGAAUUCCCAUGUGUAGAGGUGAAAUUCGUAGAUAUUGGGUAAGAACAACCGGGU